This 317-nucleotide ribosomal RNA is filed under the name uncultured eukaryote. RNAcentral describes it as "LSU rRNA". It matches the Rfam family "Bacterial large subunit ribosomal RNA", at positions 2163 to 2479 of the family's 2925-position model. The record is from RNAcentral.
AUCGGCUUGCGGGUCGAUGUGAGCCAACGGUGAGAUACCACUCUUUGCGAGCUAGGGUUCUAACGGCCACCCGUCAUCCGGGGGCCGGACAGUACCUGGUGGGCAGUUUGACUGGGGCGGUCGCCUCCUAAAAGGUAACGGAGGCGCGCAAAGGUUUGCUCAGGCUGGUUGGAAAUCAGCCGACGAGUGUAAAAGCAGAAGCAAGCUUGACUGUGAGACCAACAAGUCGAACAGGGAGGAAACUCGGCUUUAGUGAUCCGACGGUUCUGAGUGGAAGGGCCGUCGCUCAACGGAUAAGAGUUACUCUAGGGAUAACA